Molecule: ribosomal RNA, 263 nt
Filed under: uncultured bacterium
Lineage: Bacteria
Description: partial 16S rRNA
Rfam family: Bacterial small subunit ribosomal RNA
Source: RNAcentral
UGGCAACAGGGAGGAAGGAGGGGAUGAUGUCAGGUCAGUAUUUCCCUUACGUGUGGGGCUACAAACACGAUACAAUGGCCAGUACAAAGGGCAGCCAAGUCGCAAGACGGAGCAAAUCCCAUCAAAGCUGGUCUCAGUUCGGAUAGCAGGCUGAAACUCGCCUGCUUGAAGCUGGAAUCGCUAGUAACGGUAAGUCAGCACAUUACCGUGAAUACGUUCCCGGGUCUUGUACACACCGCCCGUCAAACCAUGAAAGUCGCCAA